This 253-nucleotide ribosomal RNA is filed under the name uncultured bacterium. RNAcentral's name for it is "partial 16S ribosomal RNA". It matches the Rfam family "Bacterial small subunit ribosomal RNA", at positions 524 to 776 of the family's 1533-position model. The record is from RNAcentral.
UACGGAGGUCUCAAGCGUUGUUCGGAUUCAUUGGGCGUAAAGGGUGCGUAGGCGGCGCGGUAAGUCGGGUGUGAAAUCUUGGAGCUUAACUCCGAAACUGCAUUCGAUACUGCCGUGCUUGAGGACUGGAGAGGAGACUGGAAUUUACGGUGUAGCGGUGAAAUGCGUAGAUAUCGUAAGGAAGACCAGUGGCGAAGGCGGGUCUCUGGGACGGUACUGACGCUGAGACGCGAAAGCGUGGGGAGCAAACAGG